AUCAUACCCACAGAUUUUAGGAAGAUGGUGCCGUAUAGACGAGAGAAAGCCAUCUGUCAAUGAUGUAUGACCGUCAACUUGUUUCCUAAUGCCACAUAUUUCUUGGUACAUGCUGCUCAGGGACUGUGGGCUGAUAUCCUCAUAUAAUCCUGCAUGAAACGGCCAAGGAAAACCCCUCUGCUGUCCGUAAACGAUACCUCCUUUGGCGUUCAGACGAGUCUCUGUGCGAGUGUCAGGUCGUGUAUACCUCAGCUGCUCCGUGGGCAAGACAAGCAGAUCCCUGUUGAUACUUGCAGUAGUCAAUGGAUUC
Sinocyclocheilus anshuiensis is the source of this 310-nucleotide long non-coding RNA. RefSeq lists it as uncharacterized. Lineage: Eukaryota; Metazoa; Chordata; Actinopteri; Cypriniformes; Cyprinidae. The record is from RefSeq and is a predicted model, not a curated record. The transcript is spliced from 4 exons.